AGCGAACGCUGGCGGCAUGCCUAACACAUGCAAGUCGCACGGGGGGGCUUCGGCCUCCCAGUGGCGGACGGGUGAGGAACGCGUAGGGACCUGUCGAGGGGUGGGGGAUAACCGCGGGAAACUGCGGCUAAUACCGCAUGACGCCGCGGCGUGACAGCCGGGGCCAAAGGCGAAAGCCGCCCGCCGAGGGGCCUGCGUCCGAUUAGCUGGUUGGCGGGGUAGCGGCCCACCAAGGCGUCGAUCGGUAGCUGGUCUGAGAGGGUGAUCAGCCACACCGGGAAUGGGACACGGCCCGGACUCCUAGGGGAGGCAGCAGGGGGGAAUAUGGGACAAGGGGCGAAAGCCUGACCCAGCAAGGCCGGGGGGGUGAAGAAGGUCUUCGGAUUGUAAAGCCCUUUCGGCGGGGACGAUGGGGACGGUACCCGCAGAAGAAGCCCCGGCUAACUUCGU
RNAcentral lists this ribosomal RNA (450 nucleotides) under uncultured bacterium. RNAcentral describes it as "partial 16S ribosomal RNA". It matches the Rfam family "Bacterial small subunit ribosomal RNA", at positions 30 to 506 of the family's 1533-position model. The record is from RNAcentral.